GCACCUUCUUCCUCUGUGGCUCCCAUCCUGCAACUACUCAUUUGAUGUGCAGAAACGAGCAUGGUCCAGUGCUCCUCCAUCGAUCUUAGCCCACCAGGUAGUGUUACUGUGUCCAAGAACUCUUCCAAAUCUUUCUCCUUAAUUCCUUUACAUGCAAUCCUUUGGCCACCAUCACUACGGCAAGUGCCUACUUCCACAGCUCCAGCACCAACUGAAAUUCUUAAAGCUUCCCUCAACCCAAUUCUAAGAUUGUCUUUAUCCAACUGGUCUAGACGGUGACUAAUUCUGCCCUCCACUUUCACUUCUCCUGAACCUU
RNAcentral lists this unclassified non-coding RNA (316 nucleotides) under Hevea brasiliensis (rubber tree). The record is from RNAcentral. Lineage: Eukaryota; Viridiplantae; Streptophyta; Magnoliopsida; Malpighiales; Euphorbiaceae.